AGGCUCAAGGUCCCAGUGCCUGCUUCUGAGGGUAGCUGCUGGCAGAUGCCACCAGGCCACCAGAGGCUCCGGGGCACAGUGGCCUGCACCCUGACCCCAUCCUUCCAAGCCAGGAGCUGUCAGGGGAGGAGUCUGGGCCCUCAGGGAAGGUCUUCUGCCUGCACGCACCCCUGAGGCAGGGCCACACACAAGACCCGUGGACCCUUGUUCCCUAACUAGCCCAGGGGCACUGACCGUGAGGCUGACACCCUGUACUGCCUUGCGGGAGGAAGUAAGUUGGGUCAUAGAGAAGAAAAAUGGGCCAUGGCUCAUCCUCCGGGAACAGACCUGUGGGUACCCUGGGCUGUUGGUGACGCCCGUCCUCACGAAGAGCGGGAAUGUGCCGCAGCCUGUGCCCUGCGCUCGGCACUGUGUUCUGAGCAGAGCUGGUGUGGCCCCCUCGGGGCUACCAGGGUCCUGGGGCCACAGCUGCCAAGCAUGGGAACUGGUGGGCUCUUCCCGUGCACGGCGGGCAGCAGCGGGACCCGGCUGGGCUUUUGCUGGAGGCAGGAAGGCAGGGGGCGAUGCUGGUCCCCUGGGCUGGGACCCAAACAAACUUGCUCGAGGGAGCUUGGCCUGGAGAGGCUGGGGGGAGGCAGCCGAGUGGGCUGGGGCCAGCGAUGGGGGCCACUGUGCUUGCGAAGUCUGGGACAGGGAUGACCAGUGGAAGCACAGUGAUGGCUCCAGAGUGGCCAGAGGGACCAUGAGUUGGGGGCUGGGGGACUGGGAUGUGGGACCGCACUGGCCGGCUCUGCCCCAGCCCCAGGGGCUGCUGGGACAUCAGAAGAGCAGCAUCUGUUUGGCAGCUACGUUACAACAUGUAUUUAAAAGCAUUGAGGGCGCCUGGGUCGCUCAGUGGGUUAAGCCACUGCCUUCGGCUCAGGUCAUGGUCUCAGGGUCCUGGGAUCGAGUCCCGCAUCGGGCUCUCUGCUCAGCGGGGAGCCUGCUUCUCCCUCUCUCUCUGCCUGCCUCUCUGCCUACUUGUGAUCUCUGUCAAAUAAAUAAAAUCUUAAAAACAAAAAAAAAACAUUGAAAAUAUCUGCUACUGUAAAACCUCCGCGGCCCCGCGAGGCUGGAGUUUAUUGGGAACCACAAGUGGGCGGUGCUGGGGCGUCUUGUGGCCGCUGGACAGCUGCCCAGCCUCUGUGUUCUGCUCAGGGCACUCCCGACGAGAGGCCGGCCUUCGGCGUCCAGGCACCCGGCUCUGUGCCUGCGCACACAGGCGCCCGCGGAUCUGUGCGGCCACCCGCCUGACCCCAGCUCCCUGAGGAAGCAGAGUCCUGGCUUUCAGGAAGGACAGGACGCAAAGGGUCUCUGUAGUAAACUGAAAUGUUAGCAGAAAAGCAGCUGGGCCCUCCCGCGCCGUCCAGGGCUUCGGGGCGGGGCUAGCAGGCGGACUUGGAGUGUCCAAAGAUGCAGACGGGGAAGUGCUUCACGUGGGAGGACCACUGCGCGGCCAGCUGGAAGAACUUCACGUCGCUCCACUCCACGCCGUCGAUGAGGACUGUGAGGACAGGACCGCCUGACCGCCGGCCCACCGUGCCCCGGCUUCCCCCAGGGACCCCAGCUGCCCGGGAGGCACGCGCCGGCCAGUCCUCCCACCGCCAUCCACAGCCCCGCAGCCCCCACAGGGCUGUGCCGGGUCAGACACCCUCCGCUUAAACCGGAAGAGCCACGGAGGAAGGCCGAGCGUUCUCGACCCCGGUGGCCAUCAGACUCAGACUCAUGAAGAGAAAACCGUCUGGGCUCCGUUUUCUGAAUUAACAAGUUGCAGAAAAUCGUCUAUAACAGGUCUAAGAUACAAAAAGCAAUCUUAAAAGAAGGGAAAGGAUUGAGAAGUUCUCUCUCAGAA
Long non-coding RNA from Mustela lutreola (European mink), 1891 nucleotides. RefSeq lists it as uncharacterized. The transcript has 2 exons. The record is from RefSeq and is a predicted model, not a curated record. NCBI's taxonomy places the organism in Eukaryota, Metazoa, Chordata, Mammalia, Carnivora, Mustelidae.